GUACCAGCCUUUCUUUUUUUUCCUUUUUUUUAUAUGAGGUAAGGAGAAUAGUAAUAACAAUAAUAAUAAUAAUAAUAAUAGGGAUAAAUUUGGGGUGGAUCUAUAUUCGGGCUUAGGUUCGGCUUCAAACUGGACUUGAAUUGAAUUCGAUUUAGCCACAUUUGAAUUUCAAAAUUUAAAUUUAUUACAUCCUCCUUUUUUCUCAUUAUUACACAAACAAAUGCCCCCACCUCUUUUUUAGCUUGCUGAUUGUGCAAGAAAGAGAAAAAAGGUACUACUCGUACUAGGCAUAUGAACUUCACAUCAUAAAGUUUGUCAUGUCUUUUUUUUUUUAUGCUAAGCUCGGAUUGGUAAGUAUUUCACCCUCUCUUUUCUUUCCUUUUUAUAGCUAAUAUAUGAUAAUGCUGUCAUAUCAUGUAUUCAUUUUAUUUUAUUUUAUUUUAUUUUUAUGUCUUCACGUAGAAGAUGGAGCACCUAAUUCAUCCUGAUGACAAAAUCUUAGGCAUAGCAAGAGGUAUUUCUCUAGUUCAGGCUUCUCCGAUUCAUAAUAGUAGAACGGAUCCAAUUAUUCCUUACAAUAGACCCGUGUUUAAGGAAUGGGCAGUUUUUAAGCAAAAACAACCCUUAGGUCGUUUUGGUCCUCAUUAUUACACACCUGACGGUGAGGAAGAUGUCGUACUUCUUCCACCUUUAGGUUUACCCAAAGAGAGGGAUACAUUGGAAUCUUUAUGUUACAAAAUAUUGAAUGGUCAUCCAAGCUGGGGGGGGGGUAAAGAUUGGCCACUGGGAGAUAGUGAAGAUAUUGAUGGUUUUGAGAGUUGGGCUGAUUAUAUUUUGUCACGAUAUACCUCACAAUUACAGCAUGCAGAAAUUUUUGGUGGUAUAGUUGCUUCACGAGGAAAGUAUCACAAAAACAUGAACAUUAUUAAAGCACUUGUAGAGUUGUGGUGUUCAGAAACGAAUACAUUUCAUUUGCCAUAUGGAGAAGUUGGAAUUUCCUUGUGGGAGAUUAAAGAACUAAGUAGNUUUUUUUUUUUUUUGUGAGGAGGAGAAGAAAGAAAAAAUAUUUCUUUUUUUUUUUUGAAUGGAUAUCUGUACCUUUUUUUUUUUAACGAACCUUGUUUCUCUCUCCUUCUUUUUGCCAAAGUAGUUUAUCUCUCUAACAACCUUUUUAAAAAAUCCUCCUUCUCUUAUCAUAUCUUUCCCCUUUUAUAGAUCUUCUAGUUAGUUAGUAGAUGGGAGUUUUUUUUUUAGUGGGUUAGAGGGUUAAUGGGAGAGAUUUUAGUAGGUUAGUAGGAAUGUGGGAAGGCUUUUUUUUAUAUUAUUAUUUUUUGAUGUGGGGGUGAAUGGGAAGUUAGGAUUUUUUUUUGUUGUGGGGCCCACACAAGAGAUAUAAUUAUCAUAUAUUCAUAUUUAUGAGAGAGAUGGUGGGACCCACAUCUCUAACUAACCACCUUUUUUUUCUCUUCUUUUGUUGUGCCACCCCCUGGCGUACCAGCCUUUCUUUUUUUUCCUUUUUUUUAUAUGAGGUAAGGAGAAUAAUAAUAAUACUAAUAAUAAUGAUAAUAAUAAUAAUAAUAAUAAUGGGGAUAAAUUUGGGGUGGAUCUAUAUUCGGGCUUAGACUUGAAUUGAAUUCGGUUUAGCCACAUUUGAAUUUCAAAAUUUAAAUUUAUUACAUCCUCCUCUUUUCUCAUUAUUACACAAACAUAGCUUCGCACGCCUCCGCGUCGCUCCGCUCAGUGUCGCUCCACUCCGCCUCCUGUUGCUCCAGGUCUUUCAC
This 1781-nucleotide long non-coding RNA is filed under the name Ananas comosus (pineapple). RNAcentral's name for it is "long non-coding RNA (ACOM_LNC016615)". The record is from RNAcentral. Lineage: Eukaryota; Viridiplantae; Streptophyta; Magnoliopsida; Poales; Bromeliaceae.